Erinaceus europaeus (western European hedgehog) is the source of this 715-nucleotide long non-coding RNA. RefSeq lists it as uncharacterized. NCBI's taxonomy places the organism in Eukaryota, Metazoa, Chordata, Mammalia, Eulipotyphla, Erinaceidae. The record is from RefSeq and is a predicted model, not a curated record. The transcript has 3 exons.
CAGGAUGUCUGUGGGACCCAGUUCAACGGAGCUUCUCGUCUGAAUUCUGUCAACACCCACAGUAGAUGACGCCCACCAGCUCACUUGCUCUUGUGUAGCCAUGCCUCAGAGAUUGGUCUAGCUGAAACACAGUCUGCACUUCUUGAGCCGACAGUCACCAGGCCAGAUGCAUUCUGAUCAAGCCCUCUGGAAAAAGCCCCCUGAAGCAGCAAAAGAGAUCUGAGAUUGGAGUUGUCAAGAGUUUGGAACAGCACAGGCAAAACCCCUGGUUUACAGUUAGAUAGAACAAAGCAUAUGCCUGUGGGCACAGUGAAGGCUUCAUGUCUCGGACUUGGACUUGUCCUGUCUUCUCUCUCAGGAGUCAUCAAGAGGGCGCAUGAACUGGAAAUGAUGCUCUCUGGCCUCUGUGCUGUGAGAAGUGGAGAGGGGACCCAACCCACUCACCCCUGCAUGACAAGAGAGAGGUGGCUUCUGCCCAGGCAUGCACACCCCUGGCCAGGUUCCUUUAGGUGCUGCCCUGACCCGGCUUUGCCCCGCAAGAAUAUGUGAGUGUCCACAGUGAGAUGGCAGGAUCCAGCCGUUACUGUGGGAACUGUCCCAGAGGUGCCAAAAGGUAGCCCAGUUGCUUCCUCCUGGGACUUUCCUGCGUGACCAUGUGGGCUGCAGGAAAGAAAGGAGGGCUUUGUUUCUGGCCAAAGAAAAAUAAAUGGCUGGG